AGGUGCGAUCAUACCAGUACUAAUGCACCGGAUCCCAUCGGAACUCAAAAGUUAAGUGUGCUUGGGUGAGGAUAGUACUAAGACAGGCUUUGUCGCGGGACUUCCACAGCCACAGGCA
Molecule: ribosomal RNA, 118 nt
Filed under: Cephalotus follicularis
Lineage: Eukaryota; Viridiplantae; Streptophyta; Magnoliopsida; Oxalidales; Cephalotaceae
Source: RNAcentral